Chrysolophus pictus (golden pheasant) is the source of this 471-nucleotide long non-coding RNA. The record is from Ensembl. Lineage: Eukaryota; Metazoa; Chordata; Aves; Galliformes; Phasianidae.
AUGUCAAUGCUAAAUCGAGAACGGUUACACAGAAAGACAUCAAACAGGAAACUGAUCCUAGCACAGCCCCGUGUUCCUUUGUACCUCCUCGUUUCAGCUCCUCAAGGCCCAGCCUGCAGCAGAGGAGCCGGCCCUUGGCCUUUCAGCACAUGUGGCCCCUGCAGCCUGCGUCCUGUUGACGCCCCAGCAACCCAACAGCCCACAGCAAUCCAACAGCCUGUGCUCCCAAUCCCUUCCGUUCCAUUGUGCAGCCGUAAGCAAGCUACUGCUGGGCACCUUCAUGGCCAGAUGGUGUGGCCGCACGCCGGCACAGCCUCCACCAUUUCCCAUGGAAGUGACCCCGCAGGAAGGACUGCUGGAGCUGCUCCCCGAGGCACAACCCAGCACAGGUCUGCCCAGAACAAUGCAGAGGCCACAGGCGUCCCGCAGGAAGGCUGUGGCAGAAAAGAAAAUACAGCACCAAGGCCCUGA